UAUCACAAUACAACAAAGUUUACAAAUAUCACAAAAAGCACAAGUUCAUAAUUUUUAAUAUCACAUGUUCACAAUUCACAAUAUCACAAGUUCACAAUAUAAUAAUGGAUCACAUAGAUCACAAGUUCACAAUAUAAAAAAUUAAUCUCACAUAUCACAAGUUCACAAUAUAACAAGUUGAUCACAAGUUUACAAUAUAACAAGCGGAUAUUGAAAAUGAAAAACGAGUGCCAACUCCGAACAGCAAAACCCUGUAUAUACCACACAUAGAAGACAUCAAGGUCUUAUCGAGAUGUAAUCAGAUUCGCAUUAAUCAAUAUUAGGCUGAUAUGAAUUAGAAUAGAACUCCAAGUAAAUUUUAAUAUACCUAAUACAUGAUUUCAGCGAGGGAUUCGAACAAUAUCCAAACAAAACCCCAAGUGACAAGUGUGUGGCCGUGUGGGGGUGGGGGAGGGAGAGGCUAGUAGGCUACAGCCUACAACCACGGAGCUCUUUGCAGGCUUGCAGCAACCGAGGAGAAGCCGUGCAGGCUGUUCAGGAAGAGGAGCGGCGGCAAGCGGGGCAUGGGCGUGCGCGUGCGAGCCGACGGCAGCGGCAAGGGCAGGUCCUUCUCCGGGCGGUGCGUGCGUCCAUAUAUGGCCACAAAGCUAGGAUUAGGGAUUACAGAUUUACAGAUUAGUAGAUUACUUACAGUAGAUUGGGGGCAGUGCGUCCGUCCGUGGUAUGCACGCGCAGCCUGGCAAAGAGAAGGAAGAUGAGUCACGGAAUUUGGGGCACGACAUGGAGCGCUGAGCAGAGCAGUGAGCAAUGGCGACUGGCGGUGGCGGUUGUGUGCGGUGUGCCUGUGGGGCUGCGCUGUGCCUGGGGG
RNAcentral lists this long non-coding RNA (868 nucleotides) under Zea mays. RNAcentral's name for it is "long non-coding RNA (ZMAY_LNC002589)". The record is from RNAcentral. Lineage: Eukaryota; Viridiplantae; Streptophyta; Magnoliopsida; Poales; Poaceae.